Molecule: long non-coding RNA, 1205 nt
Filed under: Mustela putorius furo (domestic ferret)
Lineage: Eukaryota; Metazoa; Chordata; Mammalia; Carnivora; Mustelidae
Description: lncRNA (ENSMPUG00000028653.1)
Source: RNAcentral
AUGAAUCAUGGAGCAUGGAUUAUUUACUAUAUUUCUACAUUUAUCAGGACCUUGUUGUCAAGAAGGAAGAGAAAGCCUUAUCCAACCUGGAAACAAAAACACGGGUCACUUGCAAGGAAGGGUCCACUGCAGAGAGGCGGGCACAGGAGAAUUUCCUGCGGUAGUCACACGUAUGGACUGGAUUCAGGUCAUGGGCUUCCAAUUUCCAGGAUUCAUGUGCCUACUUCUGUUCCUCACUUCUGCCUGCCCCAGAAUCUUCGAGUUAAAUCCAUUCCUCUCAUUUCUCACACCGUACAGCCAAGUCACAUCAUCUUUGCUCCCAUAUCACACACAAGGACUCAGAUCUCACUUCUUCCGGGAAUGAAGGCAAGAUAUUGGCUUCCUACAAAAUUGUGCCAACAUACCUUUCUACUAGCAGUAGAUGGAGUGCCCCUCUGCUCAUACAGCUGGCUACAUUUGGUAUUAUUACAUCCACUGUUAACAUUACUAGGCUGAUCAGUAGAAAGUGGUAAGUCUUCUAUUUGCUGUUUCUUGACUAUUAGUGAAUUUGAACAACUUUUUAUAAAUUUAGCAACCUAUGUUUUGUAAAAUACCUCUUUAUGACUUUUGUCCACUUUUCUACUAGAAUGUAUUUUUUCAUUGGUAAGCUUUUUAUACAUCAAGGUUUUGAAUUUUUUCUCUUCUUGGGCUAACUUCAUUUUACUUUAAGAACUUUAUUUUCAAAUAUUUAUGGAUUUACAGGAAGUUGCAAAAUACGCUACAGAGUUCCUGUGUACCAAGUUUCCUGCACUGGUAACAUCUUUACAUUAAUUGUAAUGUAUUAUCAAAACCAAGAAACUGCAAUUGGUAAAAAAUGGUUAAAUGGGUUACAGACCUAUAUGAAUUUCUUCAUUUAUUUUUAAAUCUAUUAAUGGAGAUCUUAAACACCAAUUUUAAUGCAUUCCUUCUUCUUCUUUUUUUUAGUCAUUUACACUUCUAGUUUCUGGUUCCACAUAUAAGAGCUUGGAUGUUACCACUCCACCUUAAGAACAAGGAAGAAGCUGGAGAGACUGAAAAAUCGGUAACUCUUCUUGGAUCUCCAAGAGAGAGGAGAACCCAGGGCAAACCACCACCUCCAAGAUUGGAGAGACAGGCAAAUACAAAGAGCUGUAGUUUAGGAGAGUGGAGACUCACAAGCAGAAACCACUACGGGAAGCAGUGCCAGG